UACGUAGGAUGCAAGCGUUAGUCCGGAAUUACUGGGCGUAAAGGGCGAGCAGGUGGCAUUACAAGUCUAUGUGAAAUCUCCCGGAUUCAACUUGGGAGGGGCCUUGGGAAACUUGUAGAGCUGGAGUGCAGGAGAGGCUAACGGGAAUUCCCGGUGUAGUGGGUGAAAUGACGUAGAUAUCGAGAGGGAACAACCUGCGGCGAAGGCGGGUUCGUGCUGGGCCACACUACGUGAUGCGGCGAAACCGGGGAGGCGAACGGG
Molecule: ribosomal RNA, 261 nt
Filed under: uncultured bacterium
Lineage: Bacteria
Description: partial 16S ribosomal RNA
Rfam family: Bacterial small subunit ribosomal RNA
Source: RNAcentral